AGCACUGGCUCUACCUCUGCUGCGGUAAUAAUAAUAAUCCUCCAGAGUGGGACGCUUAUGAUCCGUCCACUGGGCGCUGGAUCCACGUGCCCAAGAUGCCACCGUCUGGAUCCUACUUCUGGGAUUCCCUCGCUGUAGGAACCGAGCUGCUGCUGUUUGGGGAGACAGGUGUUGCCUUGAGAUAUAGCAUCCUUACCAAUUCAUGGACAGGGCUGCCUGAUGCUGAUGCGAUCAACACCCCGCGCUACUUGUUUGGGGCAGCGAGUGGUGGUGAGAAGGCGUACGUCGCGGGAGGCCUUGAUUCUUCUCGUACUAAUGCAUUGAGCUCUGCAGAGAUGUAUGACUCGGAGACACAUACUUGGACACCCCUUCCCAGCAUGAAUAGGGCCAGGUACGGAUGCUCUGGCGCCUUCAUGGACGGCAAGUUCUAUGUGAUCGGUGGUGUUAGCAGUACCAGUAGCCGCGAGCCGUUGACUUGCGGUGAGGAGUAUGACUUGAACCUGCGGUCAUGGAGAGUCAUCGACAACAUGUCUCAGGGGCUCAACGAGACAGUCGAUGGAGCUCCUCCGCUCAUUGCGGUUGUGAACAACGAGCUUUAUGGUGCUGAUUACAGUGAGAAUAAUGAUUUGAAGCAGUAUGAUAAGCUGGACAACAAGUGGAUCACUCUUGGGAAAUUGCCUGUACAGUCGAAGAACAAAGAUGCCUUUGACAUGGGUUUCCGAGCGUGUGGUGACCGGCUGAUUGUUAUUGGGCGUCCAAACAAUUCUACUGAUGAAAAGGUGGUUGAGCUUCAUUCAUGGAUCCCGGAUGGGCAACCGCCUGUGUGGAAUUUCGUUGCCACAAGGCCAUACCGGGGCAACGGGAUUCUGUGCGCCGCGAUGGGUUGCUGAGUUGGUCAACUAAAUAAACCUUGGAUACACGCAAGAUAUGAGUAAGUUACUUACCAUGUACUGCUUGCUUUGUAUAAAAAAAUUAUUUAUCCUGUUUGCUCCAAGAUUAGAAUGACAUGGAGUUUCUCUUCAUAUUUCCAUGCAGUGCUGGCUGUGCCUCAUUCUGAAUUUCUGAAUUUCCUGGGAGCGCUCCGCUGAUGAUACAAAAAAGACAAGACAUGAAUGAGUUCCGGAGAAAGUGGCUUCAGAAACAUCAAGAGUUUUAGUCACUAGCUGUUAUUUCCAGUUGCAAUUUGUGUUCCAAUAAUGUUUUAACGCUUCCUACGGGCGUUUUGAUGAUCUUGAUCUCCAUCAUCCAACUUUAUCUUUACAGUACAACAGAACUCUCAGUUACUUUUCGAACAUCGAAUGCAGUCUCUAGCUUUCCCUCUAUUUUUGUUCAAGAUUUUUCGAACUCGGAAUAAAAAACAAUCUGGACUCUUCGUUAUUCAGUCAGCUGUUCUGAAAAUGUAUUUUAACUGCUACUGACAUACAUGUUUUUAACUGCUUAUUUUUACAGAUAAAUAAUGUUUACAGAUAAAUGGCAAACACUUAUUUCAUUGUGAAUAUAUCAUGAUUGUUUAUUACAAAAAGUACUUGCACAUUUUAACUGCUUAUUUAUACAAAAUUUAAAACUUUUUGAUAAAUUAAAAUUUUUAUACAUGAUGUUCCAAAAUAUAUGGUGAACAUAUUAAUACACUUGGGAUAUUUUACAAAUACACUAUGAUUAUUUAUGAAUUCAUGAUGAAUUUUACAAAUACACUAUGAUUAUUUAUGAAUUCAUGAUGAAUUUUAAAAUACAUGAAAUUUAUUUUUAAAAUACAAGAUGGACGUUUUUUAGUUACCAAUUGAUAUAUAUUUUUACAAAGCAUUUUUUAAAAAAAAAAUUAUUCAUGUUGAACAAUUAUUUUUACAAAAUGAAUAUUUAUUUAUUAUAAAUGAGGAGUUGUGAAUACACGAUGAUCAUUUUUUAUAAAUACACAAUGAAUUGUCUUUCAUGCAAGAUGAACAAUAUUUAAAUAAAACAUGAUUAUUGUUAACAUGAUACAGGUGCGCCUCGCCCGACUCUCUCACGCCACGCCUGCCAAGGACGAGAGCCACGUCGCCGCCGACCUCCGCGGCGGCCGCGCUCGCCAAGAUGCCCGCCGUGUACGGGCCCUCCACGCCAACGUCCUGCUGGCCGAUCUCAACGCUCCCGUCAGGCUGCGUCACAUGCAUUGUUGCUCCCGUCAGGCUGCUGAAACCUGCGAGAUGAAGGAGGCUUUGAUGGCCCCGUCCACAUAUUAUUCACACCUACUUGUUAUGUUUUUUAUUUAACCCUUGUCAGAGGCCUUGAUUACUACUCGUCCGUUUAAGUUUUUUUAAAAGUUUCACUAACGUGCUACAUACAGAUGACAUACUUUAGAACGUAGAUUCACUCAUUUUGCUCUGUAUGUAUUAGUAAAAUUUAUAAAAAAGACUUAUAUUUAGGAACAGAUGGAGUAUACUGGUCUGAGUGUGAUAUAGUAUGAAGCUGUGUUCUUCAAGGGUGCCUGCCACACAGGUUGGAGUUUCUUAUUAUUCACAUAUUUCCGCGUUAGCUUUUCUAUAGUAUUUACUACUCACAUUGAUGUAUCUCAUAGUUUUAAAUAGCCGGCUAUAGCCUUUUCAGCAGGCUUCCGCUAAAUGAUAUCAUGUACAAAUAAGCCGCCUAUAGCUCGCUAUAGCUGAUUUAGAGGCCCUCCGCUAUUUAUAACAUAGAUUUAUCCUGAAAUCUAACCUUUUCUUUAUCAUCUCAAACCGUACCCCAAAUCAUCUUUCUAAUCUCCAACACAGGUAAGAGACACUUUCAUUACAUUCAUCUUGUGCUAACUCAUUUUUUUUUGCUACAGGUCGGGUCCAUUGUGACCAAUGUUUUAAAACGCGGGCUAUGACAUUUAGCGGCGGCUCGGCCAGAAGCUAUGAAAGGCUAUAGCGGAGCUAUGCCUCAUUUAGCGUUUCUCUUAAAUCAUGAAAUAUUAAAACAAUAAGUAUAUAAUCAGGCAUCAUAUAUGAUAUAUUGCAUAUACUUUACAUAUACACAUGUUCGUACAUCAAAACGCGAGUACUAAUCAGACAUCCUGAUUCAGUAACCAAGUUUGACAUCCAUGCAUCAUACAUAUCCUAAACAAGAACAAAAAAUAAUUCAGAAGUAUGGUUUUGUAUAGUGGCUUAACGGGCUAAAUGACUCCAAAUUUAAUGCUAUACCGGGAAAUAGCGGGCUAUUAGCGUCAUUUUCAAUUUAGCCCUAAAAAUGCAUAGCUUUAGCGGGAGAGCUCCCAAAGGCUAUAUCUAAUAUGAUUGAUUGUGACUGGUGGCCAUUACAUCGACAACCUUGUGGGUAGCAUCGUUGCUGGCAAGAAAAGUCCCUGCUGUUGGCGUCAGCCUUGGAAUCGAAGGAGUCUUCACGGUCAUGCAGGAGAAAAAGAAGAAUCAGGUACUAACUAAAUUCCUUCAGAGAAGAUGUACAAAUACUGAGACAGAUAUAUACUUACAAUGCUGGUCUUUAAUAUUUAUUUCACGGUUAUUUUCUCCAAGUAGGAGGAAUUUUUAGUUUUUUUAAUUUGGUAGUUAAUUGACAAACACUAACUACAAAGCAACAUUUAAUCUUUUACUUUAUGACCAAUCAAAAUGUUACUCCAUGUCUUUGUGCAAUUUGUUCUCUCUCCUGUCUCUCAUGUUUCAAUGUGUUGGUGGAUAUAUUUUUUUCAUCUAUCUUUGUAUCCAGAUGUUUCAAUGGAAGGCACACGUGGAGAGGUGGAGGCCCCCUUCAGUGUUUCACUGGGCGCCAUUGGACCCAUUCUUAACAAGCUCGACAUGAUGCUAGGUCCUCAAGGAUGCAAGCUGCCCAAGGGGCUCCAUGACAGAUUUCACCUGCUAAAAGAUAAUGUUGAAGAAAUAAGUGCAUACCUUGAAGAUCUGUUAGAGGUGGAGGACCCUCCCAUGGCGGUGAAGUGUUGGAUGAAAGAGGCACAAGAGUUAUCCUAUGACAUCCUUGAUUAUAUUGACAGCCGUGUAUCCCUUGAGCUUCUGGAAUGCAGAUCUGUCCGCAAGAUGGGUCUUAUUAAGAUUGCCAAGAAGCUCAAGUGGCAGAAACAAAUUGAGUAUGCAACUCCUCAUGUGCCAGAACAUGUUAUCCCCAAAACCAUUUGUGUUGAUGUCAUUCGUGCUCCCAGGAGGCUCAAGUGGUACCAGCAGAUGAUUGAAAAGGUAUCAGAAUUCAGGAUCUAUGCCCUGGAGGCUAUUCAACGGUAUGAGAGGUACCAAGUCCUUUGUUGUAGUACCUCGACGGCAUGUAGAUUUUCUGCCAUUGGGCCUUUAAUGCCAAUGCCUCCACCGCCUUGUGAGAAAACUUGUUCUGGCCUAGUAAUUGAUGGUCGGAUGAGCAAGCUUAUCAACUCACAGCUGGCUAAUGAUGAGAAUGAGCAGCUCAAGGUGGUGUCUAUUCAUGGAUCUGGAUGUCUUGGUAAAACAAUGCUUGCCAAAGUGUUGUAUAAUAAAAUUGGGAGAAAAUUCGAUUGCCGAGCUUUCAUCCAGGUGUCCAAAAAGCCUGAUAUAAAGAAGCUUUUGAAUGACAUGCUAUCACAAAUCCAUAGGAAGCAGCCCCAAGCAAGCCAAAAGGCUUCUGAUGAACUUCGCAUAACUGCUGACAAUAUCAGGAAUUAUCUACAUGGGAAGAGGUACUUAUUUUCCUCAUGAAAAUAGUAUGUACUAGUUGUAUCCAUGAAUGUCCAGAAUCACAAGUAUUACGUAAAUUCCUUAUAGGUUCCUACUUUGUUUUUCACAAAAAAUAAGGCAUGAUGAUGUUAUUCAGACAAGCUUUACAGUGAGCUAGAAAAGAAUUUACUUAUUUUCCACAUGGUCUAGAAUCGCAUGUACUACAUUAAAUCGCUACAGGUUGAUCUGUUGUUUUUUUCAAAAAAAAAAAAAGGCAUGAUGAUAUAUAGUCAAUUUCUGAAAAGAUGUUUUUCAGACAAGCUUUACAGUGAGCUAGCAAAUGAUGCUGGCAGUAACAUUUAAUUUCAGGCUGGUACCAUAAAUCCAUGCAUUUUUUGGUACCAUAUAAAUCCGUGCAUGGACUAAAUACUCAUUCUUUUCUAGCUUAUCUCAGUGCUGUUGCCAUUUGCCUGGCACAUAGAUGUGACAUGUGUGGACUUUCUUGGCGUGCAGGUAUCUAAUUAUUGUUGAUGAUUUAUGGGAUACAUCGGCAUGGGACGUUAUUAAUCAGGUUUUCCCCAAGGGUAGUCAAGGUAGCAGAAUAAUAACAACUACACAGAUUGAAGAUGUUGCAUUAGCAUGUAGCUGCGAUCACCCAGAACAAGUUUUUGAGAUGAAACCUUUGGAUGAUGGUCACUCAAGGAAGCUAUUCUUUGGCAGGAUUUUUGGCUCUGAAAGUGACUGUCCUGAAGAAUUCAAACUAAUUUCGAGCCAACUUGUAGAAAUAUGUGCUGGAUUGCCACUAGCGACCAUCAGCAUAGCAAGUCUUUUAGCAAACCAGCCUUCUGUAUCAGUGGAUUUAUUGACACACAUACAUGAUUCAUUAGUGUCUUGUUUGUCAUCAAAUUCAACUUCAGAAAGAACGAGACAUGUACUGAACCUCAGCUACAACAACCUUCCUCAUUACCUCAAGACAUGCUUGCUCUAUUUUAGUAUGUAUCCAGUGGGAUCCAUAAUCUUCAAACUUGACCUGGCCAGGCAAUGGGUGGCCGAAGGGUUUAUUGCUGCAAGUGAAGGGCAAGACACAGAGGAAGUUGCAGGAAUGUAUUUCGAUGAACUUGUUGAUAGAAGAUUCAGCCAACCUGUGUCUAUCAACUUCAACAAUGAGGUGGUGUCCUGCACAGUUCAUGCCGUGGUGCAUGAUCUUAUUGUACACAAGUCUGCUGAAAAGAAUUUCCUUGUGGUAGUAGAUUGCAAUCGAAAAAAUUUGACGCUUUCUCAUAAGGUCCGUCGACUAUCUCUGCAACUUGGUGAUGCAAAAUGUGCCAAGAUACCAGCAAACAUCAGAAAGUCACAAGUACGGUCACUUGGAUUUUUUGGAUUGGCAGAGUGCAUGCCUUGUAUUGGAGAGUUCAAGCUUGUUCGUGUUCUCAACCUUCAGCUAUCCGGUCUUCGUCAUGGUAACAAAGACCUGUCCAUAGACCUCUCUAGAGUAUCAGAACUGUUCCAUCUGAGAUAUCUGAAGAUUGCUUGUGAUGUCUGCAUAAAACUUCCGAAGCGGAUGAGAGGGCUGCAGUGUUUGGAAACACUGGAUGUUAUGGAUACACCAAGAGGCACUUAUGUUCCAUGGGACAUUAUAUAUCUCCCACGCUUGUUGCACCUCAGUCUUCCUCCUNUCGAGGUGAAAUUAGUGGAUUCCGGUUCCCAUGGCGAUAAAAGGUAGUACUUUUGUUGCUGUUGAGUUAUUCAAUUAAACCUUAUUUGAGUAUUCAUGCUCUAAAUGGUUGUUGUAACCUGCAGGAUAUCACCAGAGUCCUCUUCGCGCCUGAAUCCUGCAGGUAUGCUUUUCAGUUGUAAUUGAGACGUUUCGUCAUGAGGUGAUAAAUUACUCGUAGAAAUUAGUAAGACAUGGAUGAAGUGUUGGCUUUUGGCAGGUGUAGAGGAGGGUGGAAAGGAGCAGGCUGUGGUCUCGUGGAGCAAUACCAUUGAUGUGAUAGGUCGGGAACUCUUCUUCCGUUGCCUGCACCUUGUGCCCAGGCGGGACUACGGCACCAUCGCCUCCCUCAACCGUGAAUUCAAUUCGGUGGUUCGCGACGGGGACAUCUACCGCCUGCGUCGCAAGAAUGGGGUGGCGGAGCACUGGCUCUACCUCUCUUGCGGUAACGAUUUUCUGGAUUGGGACGCUUAUGACCCGUCCACUGGGCGCUGGAUCCAAGUGCCCAAGAUGCCACCGGCUGGAAGCUCCUUCUGGGACGCGCUCGCUGUCGGAACCGAGCUGCUGGUGUUUGGGGCCUGCGGAGGGGCUACCUUGAGAUAUAGCAUCCUUACCAAUUCAUGGACAGGGCUGGCUGACGCUGAUGCGAUCAACACCCCGCGGUACCAAUUUGGGUCAGCGAGUGUCGGUGAAAAGGCGUAUGUCGCAGGAGGCUUUGAUUCUUCUUUUAUUAAUGUAUUGAGCUCGGCAGAGAUGUAUGACUCGGAGACAUACACCCCUUCCCAGCAUGCAUAGGGCCAGGUACAGAUGCUCUGGCGCCUUCAUGGACGGC
This 7150-nucleotide long non-coding RNA is filed under the name Hordeum vulgare. Its description in RNAcentral is "long non-coding RNA (HVUL_LNC017179)". The record is from RNAcentral. Lineage: Eukaryota; Viridiplantae; Streptophyta; Magnoliopsida; Poales; Poaceae.